CCUUCGGGGUGAGUGGCAGACGGGUGAGUAACGCGUGGGAACGUGCCCUUCAGUUCGGAAUAACCCAGGGAAACUUGGGCUAAUACCGGAUACGUGCGAGAGCAGAAAGAUUUAUCGCUGAAGGAUCGGCCCGCGUCUGAUUAGCUAGUUGGUAGGGUAAUGGCCUACCAAGGCGACGAUCAGUAGCUGGUCUGAGAGGAUGAUCAGCCACAUUGGGACUGAGACACGGCCCAAACUCCUACGGGAGGCAGCAGUGGGGAAUAUUGGACAAUGGGCGCAAGCCUGAUCCAGCCAUGCCGCGUGAGUGAUGAAGGCCUUAGGGUUGUAAAGCUCUUUCGGCGGGGACGAUAAUGACGGUACCCGCAGAAGAAGCCCCGGCUAACUUCGUGCCAGCAGCCGCGGUAAUACGAAGGGGGCUAGCGUUGUUCGGAAUCACUGGGCGUAAAGGGCGCGUAGGCGGCUUGAUAAGUCGGGGGUGAAAGCCUGUGGCUCAACCACAGAAUUGCCUUCGAUACUGUCUGGCUUGAGACCGGAAGAGGUAAGUGGAACUGCGAGUGUAGAGGUGAAAUUCGUAGAUAUUCGCAAGAACACCAGUGGCGAAGGCGGCUUACUGGUCCGGUUCUGACGCUGAGGCGCGAAAGCGUGGGGAGCAAACAGGAUUAGAUACCCUGGUAGUCCACGCCGUAAACGAUGA
RNAcentral lists this ribosomal RNA (694 nucleotides) under bacterium. Its description in RNAcentral is "bacterial SSU rRNA". It matches the Rfam family "Bacterial small subunit ribosomal RNA", at positions 83 to 812 of the family's 1533-position model. The record is from RNAcentral.